This 253-nucleotide ribosomal RNA is filed under the name uncultured bacterium. RNAcentral's name for it is "partial 16S ribosomal RNA". It matches the Rfam family "Bacterial small subunit ribosomal RNA", at positions 524 to 776 of the family's 1533-position model. The record is from RNAcentral.
UACAGAGGGUGCGAGCGUUGUCCGGAAUCACUGGGCGUAAAGGGCGCGUAGGCGGCCCGCUAAGUCGAACGUGAAAUCCCCAGGCUCAACCUGGGAACUGCGUCCGAUACUGGCAGGCUUGAAUCCGGGAGAGGGAUGUGGAAUUCCAGGUGUAGCGGUGAAAUGCGUAGAUAUCUGGAGGAACACCGGUGGCGAAGGCGGCAUCCUGGACCGGUAUUGACGCUGAGGCGCGAAAGCUAGGGGAGCAAACGGG